CAGUCGCCGCGGUAAUACGAAGGGGGCUAGCGUUGCUCGGAAUGACUGGGCGUAAAGGGCGCGUAGGCGGUUUAUACAGUCAGAUGUGAAAUUCCUGGGCUCAACCUGGGGACUGCAUUUGAUACGUAUGGACUUGAGUGGAGAAGAGGGUAGUGGAAUUCCGAGUGUAGAGGUGAAAUUCGUAGAUAUUCGGAAGAACACCAGUGGCGAAGGCGACUACCUGGUCUGGCAUUGACGCUCAUGUGCGAAAGCGUGGGGAGCAAACAGGAUUAGAUACCCCCGUAGUCCCUGUCUCUUAUAA
RNAcentral lists this ribosomal RNA (301 nucleotides) under uncultured bacterium. Its description in RNAcentral is "partial 16S ribosomal RNA". It matches the Rfam family "Bacterial small subunit ribosomal RNA", at positions 509 to 809 of the family's 1533-position model. The record is from RNAcentral.